UAAAACUCGCGCACACAAAACGCACGGUC
This 29-nucleotide non-coding RNA is filed under the name Bombyx mori (domestic silkworm). The record is from RNAcentral. Lineage: Eukaryota; Metazoa; Arthropoda; Insecta; Lepidoptera; Bombycidae. RNAcentral also lists the same sequence under 1 other name.